CCUACGGGUGGCAGCAGUGAGGAAUAUUGGUCAAUGGGCGGAAGCCUGAACCAGCCAAGUAGCGUGCAGGAUGACGGCCCUACGGGUUGUAAACUGCUUUUAUACGGGAAUAACGCGCCUUACGUGUAGGGCUUUGCAUGUACCGUAUGAAUAAGGACCGGCUAAUUCCGUGCCAGCAGCCGCGGUAAUACGGAAGGUCCGGGCGUUAUCCGGGUUUAUUGGGUUUAAAGGGAGCGUAGGCCGCAUGUCAAGCGUGCUGUGAAAUGUCCGGGCUCAACCCGGGCCUUGCAGCGCGAACUGGCGUGCUUGAGUCCGCGGAAAGCAGGCGGAAUUCGGCGUGGAGCGGUGAAAGGCUUAGAGAUGACGAAGAACCCCGAUUGCGAAGGCAGCUUGCUGCAGCGGAACUGACGCUGAUGCUCGAAAGCGCGGGUAUCGAACAGGAUUAGAUACCCCGGUAGUC
Molecule: ribosomal RNA, 460 nt
Filed under: uncultured bacterium
Lineage: Bacteria
Description: partial 16S ribosomal RNA
Rfam family: Bacterial small subunit ribosomal RNA
Source: RNAcentral